GGAGCCACGUAGCUCAGGGGUAGAGCAGCUGCUUUGUAUGCAGAAGGUCCCAGGUUUACCCCCUGGGAUCUCCA
Non-coding RNA from Podarcis lilfordi (Lilford's wall lizard), 74 nucleotides. NCBI's taxonomy places the organism in Eukaryota, Metazoa, Chordata, Lepidosauria, Squamata, Lacertidae. The record is from the annotation of a GenBank genome assembly.